GCAGUGGUGGUUCAGUGGUAGAAUUCUCACCUUCCAAGCAAGAAACCUGGGUUUGAUUCCCAGUCAAUGCA
Molecule: transfer RNA, 71 nt
Filed under: Loxodonta africana (African savanna elephant)
Lineage: Eukaryota; Metazoa; Chordata; Mammalia; Proboscidea; Elephantidae
Rfam family: tRNA
About the family: Transfer RNA (tRNA) molecules are approximately 80 nucleotides in length.
Source: Rfam by way of RNAcentral